This 343-nucleotide unclassified non-coding RNA is filed under the name soil metagenome. RNAcentral's name for it is "partial contains 5.8S ribosomal RNA, internal transcribed spacer 2, and large subunit ribosomal RNA". The stretch from base 1 to 119 matches the Rfam family "5.8S ribosomal RNA", at positions 35 to 154 of the family's 154-position model. The record is from RNAcentral.
GAUGAAGAACGUAGUGAAAUGCGAUACGUAAUGUGAAUUGCAAAUUCAGUGAAUCUUCGAGUCUUUGAACGCACAUUGCGCCCCCUGGUAUUCCGGGGGGCAUGCCUGUCCGAGCGUCAUUACUGCCCUCAAGCCCGGCUUGUGUGUUGGGCCCCGUCCUCCGAUCCCGGGGGACGGGCCCGAAAGGCAGCGGCGGCACCGCGUCCGGUCCUCGAGCGUAUGGGGCUUUGUCACCCGCUCUGUAGGCCCGGCCGGCGCUUGCCGAUCAACCCCAAUUUUUAUAGGUUGACCUCGGAUCAGGUAGGGAUACCCGCUGAACUUAAGCAUAUCAAUAAGCGGAGGA